GAUGAACGCUGGCGGCGUGCCUAAUACAUGCAAGUCGAGCGAACAGACCAUGAGCUUGCUCCUCUCUCGUUGGCGGCGGGCGGGAGAGUAACGUGUGUAUAACCUCCUUCUAUGACUGGGAUAACUUCGGGACAGCGGAGCUAAUACCAUAUAAUAUAUUGCACCGCAGGGUUCAAUAGUAAAUGACGGCUUUUCUGUCUCUACUAGCUGGAUCCGCGCCGCAUUAUGUGGUUGGUAAGGUCACGGCUUACCACGGGUACGAGGCGUGGCCGACGGGAGAGGGUGAUCGGCCACACGGGAAGUGGGACACGGACCAGACGCCUACGGGAGGCAGCAGUAGGGAAUGUUCCGCAAUGGGCGAAAGCCUGACGCAGCGAGGCCGCGUGAGUGAAGAAGGCCUUCGGGUCGUAAAGCCCUGUUAUGGGUGAAGAACAACUUUGUAAGUAAAUAUGGACGGCUUGACGGUAAUUAAUAAGAAAGCAACGGCUAACUACGUG
Molecule: ribosomal RNA, 497 nt
Filed under: uncultured bacterium
Lineage: Bacteria
Description: partial 16S ribosomal RNA
Rfam family: Bacterial small subunit ribosomal RNA
Source: RNAcentral